AGAGUUUGAUCCUGGCUCAGGACGAACGCUGGCGGCGUGCUUAACACAUGCAAGUCGAGCGGUAAGGCCCUUUCGGGGGUACACGAGCGGCGAACGGGUGAGUAACACGUGGGUAACCUGCCCUCAGCUCUGGGAUAAGCCCGGGAAACUGGGUCUAAUACCGGAUAUGACCUCGCAUCGCAUGGUGUGGGGUGGAAAGCCUUGCGCGGCUGAGGAUGGGCCCGCGGCCUAUCAGCUUGUUGGUGGGGUAGUGGCCUACCAAGGCGACGACGGGUAGCCGGCCUGAGAGGGCGACCGGCCACACUGGGACUGAGACACGGCCCAGACUCCUACGGGAGGCAGCANGUGGGGAAUAUUGCGCAAUGGGCGAAAGCCUGACGCAGCGACGCCGCGUGAGGGAUGACGGCCUUCGGGUUGUAAACCUCUUUCAGCUCCGACGAAGCCUUCGGGUGACGGUAGGGGCAGAAGAAGCACCGGCCAACUACGUGCCAGCAGCCGCGGAUAAUACGUANGGUGCAAGCGUUGUCCGGAAUUAUUGGGCGUAAAGAGCUCGUAGCGGUUUGUCGCGUCGACU
RNAcentral lists this ribosomal RNA (574 nucleotides) under uncultured bacterium. RNAcentral's name for it is "bacterial SSU rRNA". It matches the Rfam family "Bacterial small subunit ribosomal RNA", at positions 8 to 593 of the family's 1533-position model. The record is from RNAcentral.